RNAcentral lists this long non-coding RNA (535 nucleotides) under Homo sapiens (human). RNAcentral's name for it is "HSALNT0314339". Lineage: Eukaryota; Metazoa; Chordata; Mammalia; Primates; Hominidae. The record is from RNAcentral.
GGUAGUCCCCAGUCACAAAUCAUCGCGUCGCCUUCGCUGGUCCCUUUCUCUUAUCGAGCCUCAGUUUUCUCUUCCAUAAGCCGGGCCAGCAGUGCCCACCCCACAGGUUGGCGCCAGCUCCGUAAGGGCCCUACCACCGCGGCCGGCCAGAUCCUCGGCGGGCCAGUCCUGGCGCUGCGGUCAUUUAGCCUGAUGACCCCUGGCCAGGUUCAGCCUCAAUUGCUCCAAAGAACUCCGGACCCGUACCCCGAGCCCGGCGUCCCAGCGGCGAAGUUGAUGGGCCCCGCAGGAGCCCUUGCGGUGAGAACCGAGUCCUGGAGCCCCUGGAGCCCCCGGAGCCCCCGGAGCUGCAGCCGGGGCAGCCUCCUUUCCGCCGGGAGUCCAGCGCUCUCGAGAGCCCAGAAACUCACCGCGCGCAGGAGUUGGUGCGGGCGUCCCGGGCAGGUUAGACUUCUGUGAGCCGCAGCCCCGAAACUGAGGUCAAGAAGACUUACUGUGGACCCUUGGAGAAUUCCCAGGGCUUUGAAAAGUCCCA